UACGUAGGAUCCGAGCGUUGUUCGGAAUCAUUGGGCGUAAAGGGCGCGUAGGUGGUUCUGUAUGUCUACCGUGAAAGCGUACGGCUCAACCGUAUUUUGUCGGUAGAAACUGCAGGACUUGAGGCUGGGAGGGGCUGGUGGAAUUCCCUGUGUAGCGGUGAAAUGCGUAGAGAUGGGGGAGAACACUCGUGGCGAAGGCGGCCAGCUGGACCAGUUCUGACACUGAGGCGCGAUAGCGUGGGGAGCAAACAGG
RNAcentral lists this ribosomal RNA (253 nucleotides) under uncultured bacterium. RNAcentral's name for it is "partial 16S ribosomal RNA". It matches the Rfam family "Bacterial small subunit ribosomal RNA", at positions 524 to 776 of the family's 1533-position model. The record is from RNAcentral.